RNAcentral lists this long non-coding RNA (2827 nucleotides) under Homo sapiens (human). RNAcentral's name for it is "HSALNT0017811". The record is from RNAcentral. Lineage: Eukaryota; Metazoa; Chordata; Mammalia; Primates; Hominidae.
CCCUAUCUGAGAGAUCCAAGGACCUGGACACACUGCCUAGUAUCUGAAACCCGUCAGUUCAGCUCCCAUGCACCCGGCCACCUCCCGCUAGCCGGUGGCCCCUUUCCACAUGCUGACGCACUGCCCAGCCCUGUACCGUUGGCGACCAGUGCAAAGUACUAGCCCAGUCUCAGAAACUUUGACUCAGUUAUCAGGACACUGAGCACUCACAAGGUGGGUGGGGGUUGGGGGGAGGUGUUUGUCAUGGCUCAGGAGGUCAACUUUGAAGCGGGGCAUUCCCUACAGGUAGGGAUCUGCCCGGAACGCAUCCCAUCCCAAACUGCAAAACCACAAGCAUCAACAGCAGGAGCCGAGCAAAGUGCUCGGCGGAGGAAGAGGAAGGGCGAGGGAGAGAAAUGGUCGAGUACAGAAGCCUGCGUGUGGGUAAGAAAAUACCCUAACCACUCGCCCACCGGACGCAGGGCGGCUGGGACUGCGAAUCCAGCAGCAGCCACAGCGUAGCAGCGGGCGGCAGCCGCCGAGGCAGCAAUGUCAGGAGGGCACAGCUGGAGGAGGCGGCCGCCAAAGCCACUACCCCACCCCCAGGAAGAUUUGGAAAAGAGGCACUGGCUACUGGAGGAAGGGAGAAAUCACCGAGAGAGCGAAAGAUGUAACAGAAACAGGCUCUUGUUCUGUCACCCAUACUUGGAGUGCAGUGGUACAAUGAUAGCUCACUGCAGCCUCAAACUCCUGGUCUCAAGCAAUCCUCUCACCUCAGCCUCCCAGAUGCAGUGACUCAUGCCUAUAAUCCCAGUACUUUGGAAGGUCAAGGCACAAGGAUCCAUUGAGGCCAGGAGUCCAAGACCAGCCUGCACAAUGUAGCAAGACUCCUUCUCUACAAAAAAAUAAAUAAAAAUUAGCCAGGCAUGGUGGUGCACUCCUGUAGUCCCAGCUACUCAAGAGGCUGAUGUAGAGAAUCGCAUUAUCCCAGAGGUCAAGGCUGCAGUGAGCCGUGAUCAUGCCUCUGCACUCCAGCCUGGACGAUAGAGCAAGACUUUAUCUCAAAAAACAAAAAUUUAAAAAGAUAUCAGGUAGCUCAUAGAAUUGUUGAGAGGGCUGUAAAACCAGGCUUGAACUUAAACAGCAACGAUAAACCACCCACAGAACGGACAUGAUGAAGAAGUUGGCAAAUGUUACCAACUGUCCUGGUUUUUUUGGUGACUGUAGUUUCCAAGGAUUCAGAUCCUUCCAUGCCAAAAUCUGAAAAAUGCUGGGCAAAGUAUGACUGACAAUGUGGUAAUCUUACAGCUAGCACUAGAGACAUCAAGCACUAGACAACACAAUUUGCCCUUUGGCCACUUAUACAAUGGGAACUCACGCUUGCAGUAACCUCUAUUGCCACUAGGAGAGAGAAACACAGAAGGAGGAAGGGAGAAGGGAGAGAGAGGAAAAAAACUGUUGCUUGUCUCCUUAGCUGUGAGUCAAAGGUCUAACACAGAUGUCUGGCUGAAAAGCCUAGGUCACAUGCCUGCACCCCAGAGAAAGUAUGUGACAUCUUCUGCUUCCAUUAUGGGAAACAGCCUUUGCUUGUCACGAAGAUUUACAUGGUGAGACAUAUCCUAAAUAUAGGGAAGCUGUUGAAGUGGCCCAAAUAAUGACCAAUUUCUACUAAUUUGUACUAAUAUCCAAAUUACUUUUAAUUAUCUAAUAUUACUUAGAUACAGUGAGGCAACCAUUCGUUGGAUAUAUAAUGGUUUCUUUGAUUUCAAAAAUCUUUUUUUAUGUAAUAUAUGUCUGAAGACCAUCAAAAUAAAUUCUUAAAGUCAGAUUAAUAGGAUGUUACUUAUAAUAUUAUUGUAAUUAUUUGACCACAUAAUAGUUUAUGCCCAUUAUAUACUAUGUAAUUGUAUGAUGGAAAUAAUGCUGUACUUUGUUUGUAAAAGUUUAAUUAUCCUGACCUUUGUUCAUCAUAAAGAAUUGCUCCAUUUCUAUUAUUUAUCGAGGAAAAAAGUUUCUCUCUUUUUGUUUUUAAUAUGUCAUUAGGAGAAGAGUAGUUACACGUAGGCUAGAGUGUUUGCCAAGAAGAAAUUGAUUUUAAUGGGAACCUUUUAUCUAAGACAAACUUUAAGAAGAGCAGUAAUGGACAAUGUGUUCUGUGCAACUCUUCAGCCUUCAGUCUCACAUUCAUUGUGGUCAAGUAUUUUCAGCAAAGAAUAACAAGUCAGAGUUUGUGUAUAUUUUUCAUAGCUGUUCAUUCUCUUACAGAGUAACCUUGAACAAACCUCUUAAGAUUUGUGUUUUAUCUUCAUAUACUGAAAUACAAAAUGGGAAUGCCUAUAUUUAAUCAAAGAUAUAAUUUUUACUGAUAGAUAGUAAAGAACAAAACACUGGAACAAGAAUUCCUGUCCUGCCUUUCACAAUGUGGUUUUGAGGCCUUGGCCAUGUCACUUAAAUUCUCAUAUCUGUUUUCUCAAUCUAUAAAUGAUCAUAAUACCUGCACUAUCUGUCUCAAAUUGCAUAUGUGAAAGCAUCUUAAAGGUACAAAACAAUAAAUACAAAGCAUUAUUAUUAAAUUAUUACACCUUCCAGCAUUUAAUGCUAAAAAUGCCAAAUGCGUCCUUUGGUUAUAUGUAGGAAAUAUGUCUCAGAAAAAUCAAUUUAAAAUUAUAGAAGCUAACAGGUAAGUCAUUUUAAGUGUGUGGUUAUCUUCUGCAUGGCAGAUUUUUAAAUGGUAAUUAUUAAUGAAGUUUUCCUAUACUUACUGUUUCCAAGACUCCAUUCUUUCCAAAGUUUUCUGAGUUAUGCUUAUCAUCCCUUAAGUCUUAGGGAUGCUCUUCUGAGCUUUUGG